GAUCAUGGCUCAGGAUGAACGCUGGCGGCGUGCCUAAUACAUGCAAGUCGUACGAGGGAAGUCCAGCUUGCUGGAUAGAACGAGUGGCGAACGGGUGAGUAAUACGUAAGCAACCUGCCUGCAAGGACUGGGAUAACACCUGGAAACGGGCGCUAAUACCGGAUAGGUAACAAAGGGGCAUCCCUAUGUUAUUAAAGGUUAGAAACACAAGCAGAUGGGCUUACGGUGCAUUAGCUAGUUGGUGAGGUAACGGCCCACCAAGGCGAUGAUGCAUAGCCGGCCUGAGAGGGUGAACGGCCACAUUGGGACUGAGACACGGCCCAGACUCCUACGGGAGGCAGCAGUAGGGAAUUUUCGGCAAUGGACGAAAGUCUGACCGAGCAACGCCGCGUGAGUGAAGAAGGUUUUCGGAUUGUAAAGCUCUGUUGUAAGGGAAGAACAGCACGGAAAGAAUCCGUGAAUGACGGUACCUUACCAGAAAGCCACGGCUAACUACGUGCCAGCAGCCGC
RNAcentral lists this ribosomal RNA (510 nucleotides) under uncultured bacterium. RNAcentral describes it as "bacterial SSU rRNA". It matches the Rfam family "Bacterial small subunit ribosomal RNA", at positions 15 to 518 of the family's 1533-position model. The record is from RNAcentral.